UACGUAGGGGGCAAGCGUUGUCCGGAAUUAUUGGGCGUAAAGCGCGCGCAGGCGGUUUUUUAAGUCUGGUGUAUAAGCCCAGGGCUCAACCCUGGGAGGCACUGGAAACUGGAAGACUGGAGUACAGGAGAGGAAAGUGGAAUUCCACGUGUAGCGGUGAAAUGCGUAGAGAUGUGGAGGAACACCAGUGGCGAAGGCGACUUUCUGGCCUGAAACUGACGCUGAGGCGCGAAAGCGUGGGGAGCAAACAGG
RNAcentral lists this ribosomal RNA (252 nucleotides) under uncultured bacterium. RNAcentral's name for it is "partial 16S ribosomal RNA". It matches the Rfam family "Bacterial small subunit ribosomal RNA", at positions 524 to 776 of the family's 1533-position model. The record is from RNAcentral.